Molecule: ribosomal RNA, 254 nt
Filed under: uncultured bacterium
Lineage: Bacteria
Description: partial 16S ribosomal RNA
Rfam family: Bacterial small subunit ribosomal RNA
Source: RNAcentral
UACGUAGGGUGCGAGCGUUGUCCGGAAUUAUUGGGCGUAAAGAGCUCGUAGGCGGUGUGCCGCGUCGGCCGUGAAAACCUGCAGCUUAACUGUGGGCUUGCGGUCGAUACGGGCAUCACUGGAGUUCGGCAGGGGAGACUGGAAUUCCUGGUGUAGCGGUGAAAUGCGCAGAUAUCAGGAGGAACACCGGUGGCGAAGGCGGGUCUCUGGGCCGAUACUGACGCUGAGGAGCGAAAGCGUGGGGAGCGAACAGG